GACGAACGCUGGCGGCGUGCCUAAUACAUGCAAGUAGAACGCUGAAGGAGGAGCUUGCUUCUCUGGAUGAGUUGCGAACGGGUGAGUAACGCGUAGGUAACCUGCCUGGUAGCGGGGGAUAACUAUUGGAAACGAUAGCUAAUACCGCAUAAGAGUAGAUGUUGCAUGACAUUUGCUUAAAAGGUGCAAUUGCAUCACUACCAGAUGGACCUGCGUUGUAUUAGCUAGUUGGUGGGGUAACGGCUCACCAAGGCGACGAUACAUAGCCGACCUGAGAGGGGGAUCGGCCACACUGGGACUGAGACACGGCCCAGACUCCUACGGGAGGCAGCAGUAGGGAAUCUUCGGCAAUGGACGGAAGUCUGACCGAGCAACGCCGCGUGAGUGAAGAAGGUUUUCGGAUCGGAAAGCUCUGUUGUAAGAGAAGAACGAGUGUGAGAGUGGAAAGUUCACACUGUGACGGUAUCUUACCAGAAAGGGACGGCUAACUACGUG
RNAcentral lists this ribosomal RNA (495 nucleotides) under uncultured bacterium. Its description in RNAcentral is "partial 16S ribosomal RNA". It matches the Rfam family "Bacterial small subunit ribosomal RNA", at positions 28 to 507 of the family's 1533-position model. The record is from RNAcentral.